ACCGUGAGGUGGAGCAAAACUUAUAAAGCCUAUCUCAGUUCGGAUUGUAGGCUGCAACUCGCCUACAUGAAGCUGGAGUUGCUAGUAAUCGCGAAUCAGAAUGUCGCGGUGAAUACGUUCCCGGGCCUUGUACACACCGCCCGUCACACCAUGAGAGCUGGUAACACCCGAAGUCCGUGAGGCAACCGUAAGGAGCCAGCGGCCGAAGGUGGGAUUAGUGAUUGGGGUGAAGUCGUAACAAGGUAGCCGUAGGAGAACCUGCGGCUGGAUCACCUCCUUUCUAAGGAGA
This 289-nucleotide ribosomal RNA is filed under the name Clostridium tepidum. Its description in RNAcentral is "partial 16S ribosomal RNA". It matches the Rfam family "Bacterial small subunit ribosomal RNA", at positions 1254 to 1533 of the family's 1533-position model. Lineage: Bacteria; Bacillati; Bacillota; Clostridia; Eubacteriales; Clostridiaceae. The record is from RNAcentral.